Molecule: long non-coding RNA, 448 nt
Filed under: Solanum tuberosum (potato)
Lineage: Eukaryota; Viridiplantae; Streptophyta; Magnoliopsida; Solanales; Solanaceae
Description: long non-coding RNA (STUB_LNC000744)
Source: RNAcentral
AUAAUCGACCUUUAACUGGUCAAUUUAAUAAAUAAAUAAAUAAAUAACUGAAAACACAGAAACUGAAGCAGCUCCUCCCUCAUGAAUCAGUAUGAAAUGUUAGCUUUUAUCGGCACAAAUGCUCGGCAAGCAGUAGUACACAGUUUCAUCUCAAACCAUGAAAACACAAUUAUAUUCCAAGUUUGAUUAUCUUAUUAAUUCGUAAGACUACCUAUGUCAAAUCGAACACAUUGAAUCCAAUCUCGAGCUUGCUAGUUCGUCUCAAUUUUAUUCCCACUCAAAAACUUAUCCUUUAGUUUUAACCACAAAUUAUUAAAAAAAUUCAAUAGCAAUUUAAAAGUUCUCAUUAAAAGAUUUAUACCGAAGACGAAGGGAAAAAGAGAUUAAAGGAGCAUACCUGAAAGGAUGAAAUUAAGUGAGAGGGUAAUUUCUUGAAUCUAGAAUGAAG